Molecule: long non-coding RNA, 590 nt
Organism: Melospiza georgiana
Lineage: Eukaryota; Metazoa; Chordata; Aves; Passeriformes; Passerellidae
Exons: 3
Source: RefSeq, a predicted model, not a curated record
UUGAGCAGGAAGAGAAUUUAGCCAAAUACAGACAUCCCUACAAGGGCCAUCGCAGAUCCAGCUGGGAUCCAACCCUUACAGAUCCACCAGCAUCCCCAUUUCUGGUGUGACCCAGCAUCAUCAACCCCACCUGGCUGCCAUGGCCAGGGCCAACCCACAGCAGCCACCGGGCCCAUGGGAGCAGCCAGAGAAGGAAGCAGAGAUCCUGCAGGAGGUGAACACAACAGAUGUCUCAGCUUCUCAUUCUGAUGGUCUUCAGCUCGUCUUGCCCCUGGCUUGAAGUGCCCACGUGCAGGAGAAACAUCCUCAUCCUCCUCCAGCUUUCUCCCCUGGUCAUGCAAUGCACACACUUCCAUCUGAAGGAAGCCCAAUGCAGAACUACAGCUCCAGAAGUGCAAAUUCUCUUUCUUUGUGAGCAGCCUUGCCCACCCAAUUAAAUCAUGAUCCCACUGCUCACACAGAGUUUGUGUGCAACAACUCAGCUCGCAGCCAGGUUUGGAAUCAGCAGCAGCUCUGAUUGGAAACCCAGGAUCCAACAGCCCUGAGGGUCACAGCUGCCCUCUGCUUCAUUCCUGCCCCAAGGGCUCAGC